RNAcentral lists this ribosomal RNA (492 nucleotides) under uncultured bacterium. Its description in RNAcentral is "partial 16S ribosomal RNA". It matches the Rfam family "Bacterial small subunit ribosomal RNA", at positions 29 to 507 of the family's 1533-position model. The record is from RNAcentral.
AGUGAACGCUGGCGGCAGGCCUAAUACAUGCAAGUCGAACGGCCGCACAGUAAGAGUUCGCCUCUACGGGUGGCGAGUGGCGGACGGGUGAGGAAUACAUCGGAAACCUCUUUUACGUGGGGGACUUCGUAGGGAAACAUAUGCUAAUAGAGCAUAUGUUCUACGGGAGAAAGCAGGGGUUCAUCGGACUUUGCGCGAUAGUAUGAGAUGGUGCCGGAGUAGCUAGUUGGGGGGGUAAAGGCCCACCAAGGCAACGAUACGUAGCUGGUCUGAGAGGAUGAUCAGCCACACUGGAACUGAGACACGGUCCAGACUCCUACGGGAGGCAGCAGUAGGGAAUUUUGGGCAAUGGGCGCAAGCCUGAUCCAGCCAUGCCGCGUGAGUGAUGAAGGCCUUCGGAUUGUAAAGCCCUUUUAUUAGGGAAGAAAAGCUGCGUAAUAAUACCCCGCUGUUCUGACGGUACCCAAAGAGUAAGCACCGGCUAACUUCGUG